RNAcentral lists this ribosomal RNA (244 nucleotides) under uncultured bacterium. RNAcentral describes it as "partial 16S ribosomal RNA". It matches the Rfam family "Bacterial small subunit ribosomal RNA", at positions 269 to 504 of the family's 1533-position model. The record is from RNAcentral.
CAAGGCAACGAUGCAUAGCCGACCUGAGAGGGUGAACGGCCACACUGGGACUGAGACACGGCCCAGACUCCUACGGGAGGCAGCAGUAGGGAAUCUUCCGCAAUGGACGAAAGUCUGACGGAGCAACGCCGCGUGAACGAUGAAGGUUUUCGGAUCGUAAAGUUCUGUUGUUAGGGAAGAACAAACUUCGUUUGAAUAAGGCGGAGUCAUGACGGUACCUAACGAGAAAGCCACGGCUAACUAC